CCUACGGGAGGCAGCAGUGGGGAAUUUUGGACAAUGGGCGCAAGCCUGAUCCAGCCAUGCCGCGUGCGGGAAGAAGGCCUUCGGGUUGUAAACCGCUUUUGUUCGGGAAGAAAUCGACUCCAUUAAUACUGGGGUUGGAUGACGGUACCGGAAGAAUAAGCACCGGCUAACUACGUGCCAGCAGCCGCGGUAAUACGUAGGGUGCGAGCGUUAAUCGGAAUUACUGGGCGUAAAGCGUGCGCAGGCGGUUUCGCAAGUCAGAUGUGAAAGCCCCGGGCUCAACCUGGGAACUGCAUUUGAAACUACGAGGCUAGAGUGUGUCAGAGGGGGGUAGAAUUCCACGUGUAGCAGUGAAAUGCGUAGAGAUGUGGAGGAAUACCGAUGGCGAAGGCAGCCCCCUGGGAUAACACUGACGCUCAUGCACGAAAGCGUGGGGAGCAAACAGGAUUAGAUACCCUGGUAGUCCACGCCCUAAACGAUGUCAACUAGUUGUCGGANAAGCAAUUCUUGGUAACCGCNNCACGCGUGAGUAGACGCGNGGAGGUACGGUCGCGAGAUAACGUACGAAGAAGUAGACGNGUGAGACGUGCGACGACGACGACGAGGAGAGG
This 611-nucleotide ribosomal RNA is filed under the name uncultured bacterium. RNAcentral's name for it is "bacterial SSU rRNA". The stretch from base 1 to 538 matches the Rfam family "Bacterial small subunit ribosomal RNA", at positions 338 to 873 of the family's 1533-position model. The record is from RNAcentral.